AUGUCACGAGGAAGCAGCCAAUCGUGGCGGGGCCGCGCCGCCCGCCCCGGGCCGGUCACCCGGCGGCGACGCGCGGGGGUCAGCACCCGAGGCGUCGGAGACCCCGGCGGUCCGCGCCCCUCUCGGGGCCGGCCUGCAGCUCCCCGCCCGGGCACAGAGGGCGCCGCCCACGGCCAGCGGCGCAGGGGAGCAGGGGGCGCUGCCCUCCGGGGGGUGGGGGUGUCCGCGUUGUCAUGGGGACGCGGCGCCCCCUCGCGGGCUGGGGAGGGAGCUGGCAGCCGGGUCCGGCCGCUCUCCCGCCUCCGCCCUGACCGUACUCCCGGGACCCUGAGCUAUUUUCGCGCCUCUCCGGGACCUCAGCGCCCUGCGUGGCCCCACUCGCGGUUUGGCCGCGAGGCACAGGAGUCUGACCCCAGCGGGAGGCUACGGGUGGGUGGGGCGGGCUGCGCCGCCAGGGAUCCGUCGGGGCCGAGGUCCGGGAGCUCCAGCCGCGCCGCUGCGUGCCGGCCGGGCCGCCCGCGAGGAGGGGGGCCGUCGGGGCCUGGGGAAGCGCAGGAGCGGGUGGACCGGAGGGGGUCGUCCGGGGAUAGAAGAGCCCACCGCGGACCACUCGCCCGCACCCGCUCGGCUCCCUGCUUGGCGUUCCGGGCCGGGAAAGGGGCGCGCCCCCGCUCUCCCAGUCCCGGGAUGGGACGCGCUUCCAGUCCAGCCGCAGCCUGGACCGUGAGUUCACCGCCGCCUGUGAGGGACAGUCGGUUGCCCAAGGUCGCCGGGGCCGGAGCCCGGGACAAGACCCCGGAGAGCGGGCAGCCAAUCUCAGAGGUCGCUAGGAACCGCAAGGGCGGUAGCCUCAGGACACGGGGCCUCGCCCAGGCUGGGCCGACAUUGGGGCGGCUUCAGCACCUCGGAGAGCUCCCCGCGCCCGGGCACAGCGGCCUCUGCCGCCUGAUCCCGCUCCAGCGCUUCUUCCUCCGAGAGCGCCCUUCCAGGGGGCUGCCGGGGUCGGACGCUCCCCACUGCGCCCGGGACCGAGGCCUGUAA
This 1041-nucleotide long non-coding RNA is filed under the name Papio anubis (olive baboon). RNAcentral's name for it is "lncRNA (ENSPANG00000045724.1)". Lineage: Eukaryota; Metazoa; Chordata; Mammalia; Primates; Cercopithecidae. The record is from RNAcentral.